GCGAGUGAAGCGGCAACAGCUCAAAUUUGAAAGCUGGCUUAGGCCCGCAUUGUAAUUUGCAGAGGAUGCUUCUGGCGAGGUGCCUUCCGAGUUCCCUGGAACGGGACGCCAUAGAGGGUGAGAGCCCCGUAUGGAUGGACACCAAACCUGUGUGAAGCUCCUUCAACGAGUCGAGUAGUUUGGGAAUGCUGCUCUAAAUGGGAGGUAAAUCUCUUCUAAAGCUAAAUACCGGCCAGAGACCGAUAGCGCACAAGUAGAGUGAUCGAAAGAUGAAAAGCACCUUGAAAAGGGGGUUAAACAGUACGUGAAAUUGUUGAAAGGGAAGCGCUUGUGACCAGACUUGCGCCGGGCAGCUCAUCAGGGGUUCUCCCCUGUGCACUCUGCCCGGCUCAGGCCAGCAUCGGUUCUUGUGGGAGGAUAAGAACGGUAGGAACGUGGCCCCCUUUCGGGGGGGUGUUAUAGCCUACCGUACGAUACUCCCGUGGGGACCGAGGUUCGCGCUCCGCAAGGAUGCUGGC
RNAcentral lists this ribosomal RNA (518 nucleotides) under Cytospora carbonacea. Its description in RNAcentral is "eukaryotic LSU rRNA". It matches the Rfam family "Eukaryotic large subunit ribosomal RNA", at positions 89 to 630 of the family's 3401-position model. Lineage: Eukaryota; Fungi; Ascomycota; Sordariomycetes; Diaporthales; Cytosporaceae. RNAcentral also lists the same sequence under 1 other name. The record is from RNAcentral.